UUCGUAGAUAAAGUCGUCAAACCCAUCGGCGAAAAGGUAGAAUUAAAUAAAAUCACCGAAAACGUUAUCAAAACUACUAAGGAUAUGGAAGCUACCAUGAACCGGGCCAUCGACGGAUUUAAGAAACAAUGAUUGUUUCAAAAUGACGAGUGACUAAUCCAAACAACAAUUUUUAUAUAUUUUUUUAAUUAAAUUAUUUUCUUUAUAAAAUUUA
Acyrthosiphon pisum (pea aphid) is the source of this 214-nucleotide long non-coding RNA. RefSeq lists it as uncharacterized. The transcript has 2 exons. The record is from RefSeq and is a predicted model, not a curated record. NCBI's taxonomy places the organism in Eukaryota, Metazoa, Arthropoda, Insecta, Hemiptera, Aphididae.